CUGGGCAGGAGCCCCCCGGAGAGGAGAGCACGGUGGAUGGGGAAAGGACUACCUGACAAGAAACUCCUCCAGGCAGUCUGACGACGUAGCCGUGGGGCCGGCCGGCCCGGGAGGCGGGGAAGAAGCGCCGCGGCGGAGGAAUAUCACAGAGGUGAAGCUGCAUUCUGAGUUUGCCCCUUCCUGAUACUGCUCGCUCUGAUGAUUCGAUUAAAGGAGUUUCUGCCAGGAUUUCUCCAUGGAAGCUUCUCUUUUUUCCUUGGCUUCCAGUACCUGAAGUGCACAGACCUUCUUUACAACUCCGUGUGUGCUGAGACGUGUGUCGGGGCCAGGACUUUGGCCGGUGAAGCCCAGGACUUUGGCCCGUGAAGCCCAGGACGGCCCCUGUGGUUACAUCUGUGGCUGGUAUAGAAAGUUUCCAGCCCCCGAGGCCCCCUGGAGCCCCGCCCUGUCAGCACCUCCCCAGAGGUCACCUGCUGCUGUCACCCCAGACUAGCUUUGACUAUUCUUGAACUGCAGCGCCGGGAAACUCAUACAUGGAGCAGGAGGGGAGCCCCUGCAGCCUCACCCACCCGGCAACAGAGGGGAAACCAAAGCACUGGGAGCAAGAGAGCGAGAGGUCCUCACAGAGCCCAGGUUUGGGGCUCAGCUCUGACUAUCUGGGCCUCCCCAGGGAGGUCAGCGCAGCUCUCCGAACACCACUGUCUGUGAAGAGCAGGGCUCCUGGGUGGUGUAGACGAGGUAAGAGUCUCCCCACCAUCCCCAAAACUGCUGUGAAGUCAGAGCCUGCAGCGCCCCGGGGCAGUGGCCUCUAAGACACUCUGUCGGAUUUGGCCUUGUGUCGCUUUUACCAACAAGCCCCGCGACUAGAGCAGAGACUGGGCCAGGGAAGCCGCUGCCCUCUGUCCCCCAUGAGCCCCCCCCACCGCCAGGAUGGGGGAAGCUAAGGGGAGGGAAGGCGACUCUGCGGGCACUUCCCAGCCUCUGCACCCCCAUCUUCCUGUCAGCUGUCUUCCUCUUCCAUCAGGGCCUGGGGGGCAGGGGUGAGAGAGAGCUGGGAGGCCCUGGACAGCAGAGGGAGAGGAAGGGACAGAGGGGUCCCGCUCUGUUCGCUGUGUUCGGAGGCUGGGUCUGCAGGAGAGAAGCUGUUCAAGGUAACCACUCGCUGUGACCUGAGCAGGCUUGAGGCCCCCGGGGGGCCUAUGUGGCCCUGCUCAUGCUUCCUACUAACAGCCCUUCUCAUGGUGUCCGUUCUGUCCCCAAAACAGAAACUGCUUUCCAGGCACAUCCUCUGGGUUUGGCUUGUCUGGCCCUUGAGGCCCUCAAAAUCGGGCCUCCAGCCCUGUUGUGGAGAGUCCCCUCCUGCAGGCUGCGUUUCCUUCCCCACCCUCAGCCCUGGGGCUGGCUCCUCCCAACCAUCUUCCUGCAGGUGACAAUGGAAGGAGGGCACACUCCCCCUCAAGCCUCCCAUGGCUCCCCAGUGCUCUCAGGAUAAACCCCUGAACACAGGCCUGCAGGUCUGGCCCCUACAACCCUGUCUCCCCUCCUCUGCACCCCAGAUCUAACUCCAGCUGCCUCUCAACUCCUCCUGCUUCCCUGCUGUCUCCAGUGGGUGCAUCCCCUUUUCUGGAACAUUCCCCUACCACACUGUGGGGGACUCAGCGCUGCCCCCUUUUCACGAACCACGGUCCCACUCGGAGGCUGUCUGUGCACUGACUUCUAUGGUUUUGACUCGCAAUUCUGCUCCAGGGGUCUGUGUUUCUGUCUUCUCCGAGGACGAGGACGGCGCUGUCUUAUUUCCUGGGCGCCAGGGUAAGUCACGAAGUCAGGCGCAGCCACAAUUCAACUUCCAGCCCUAGGGACUUGACUCCUCCGGGGACCUCAUUCCUGUUCCGUAUUUGUCCUUCAUCGUCUGGCCUACUUCGCACAGUGUCCUCAAGGCUCGUCCACGUUGCAUUCCUUCCUUUCGAAGGCUGAAUAAUAUUCUCUUUAUGGAUGGACCACAUUCCGUUUGUCCAUCAUCCAUCACCGGACAUUUGGGUUGCUCCCACCUUUUGGCUAGUGUGAGUCACGUGGCUGUGACCAUGGCCACACAAAUACUAAGGCCCUGCUUUCAACUCAUUGGGUAUAGACCCAGGGAGAAAUUGCUGGGUCAUAAGGUCAUUCUAUGGGGCAUGGUGGUUUCAGAGAGGGGCAUGUUUUGCAACUUGGCUGAGAGAAGUCAGGGAAGAUAUGCUGGAGGGGUUGGGAAAGUGUUUCUUGCUCUCUCUUUUUUUUAAAGUAGGCUCCACGUGCAACCUGGGGCUUGAACUCACGACCCUGAGAUUGAGAGUCACUUGCUCUACCAACCCAACCAGCCAGGCGCCCCAGUGUGUCUUCGAUGUAUGAAAACAGCCCUCCACAAAAAGCUGCUGGAAUCAGGGAGUCCGGAGUCUGUGAACGUGGGUGGGAAAUCAUCACGUGCUGAGUUUAGCACUUCCCUCCUUUAUGCACUUGGGUUGCCCUUGAGGGAGACCCACAAAUGGCCUGCAUCCACAGUCUGCAACUCCUGUUCCCAGCCCGUGAGGACCUCGCCCUGCCGGGGACCACCCUGCAGACGUGCCUCUCUUUCAUGCCCCGAAGCUGCCCUCGGCCCCAUCUGCACCUGAGCACCCGCAUCGAUGCCUGGACCCUUGUCCAGUGUCCUGGACAUGCCCUGGGGGGACGUGAAGGACUGACUGUGCCAGCUCAGGAGCCCUGAGCCAAGCAGGUCUUGAAAGAUUGCCCCUCCCCCAUAUGAGCGUUUCAAACAUCUGGGGCUGUUGUGGCCAGGACCCUGCCCGCAGGCUCUCUCUGGAAAGCAGUCAGAGUGCCGGUCUGGGGGGUCACAUGCCCACUGAUGGAAGCAUUGGGGUCUGCAUUCUGGAGUCUGGAAGUUCUGCAGGCCAGGGAGGACUGAGUCAAGAAAGGCCUGGGGAGCAGGGAAGGCGAGGGAGGGUCUGGCCUCCUGGCCUGGCCUCCCUUUCUGCCCCUCCCUUUUGUUGUCUGUCUCUUCUGGGGCUGCCCGGCUUGAGGGGGGAGCUCACGAUGCACUGGCGGGGCUUUGUGCAGCCCUGCUCUCCACGAGGCUGAUGGGGGCACCACAGUGGCGGCAGGGGACACGGACGCAGCUGUGACCAGUGGUGCGCCAGGAGGGCAGAAGUCACCAACAGUUUCCGGGGGUCCCAACACCUGCUGGCACAUCUGUCGACUCACAGGUUGUCCCUCCAGUCUCCAGAUUCUGCUCCAGCCUCCUGGGGGCUGCCCAGACCUGCACUGACUGACACAGUAGGCACUGGUCACACGUGGUUUUUUUCACGUGUAAAUUAAUUUCAGUGAUGUAAAAUGAAAAGUUCAGUUCCUCAGUCCACAUUUCAAAGGCUCAAUAGCCACAUGUGUGACUGGCGGCUCCCGUAGUGGACAGAGCAGAUUCUAGAACAUUCCAUCAUGGCAGAAAGUUCUAUUGCUUGGCGCUGGGCCAGAUGCCUGUCCUGACCCCUGGGACACCUAGGCCUGGGAGGGAUAUGACACAGCCUCCUCCAGGGCCGCUCAGGGAAGGAGCCAGGAGGUUCCCCAGAGGCUCCCCUGUGUCGGGCUCCCUGCUCAGUGGGGACCUGCUUCUCCCUCUCCCUCUGCCCCCUGCUUGUGCUCUCUUGCUCUCU
Molecule: long non-coding RNA, 3677 nt
Organism: Ailuropoda melanoleuca (giant panda)
Lineage: Eukaryota; Metazoa; Chordata; Mammalia; Carnivora; Ursidae
Exons: 6
Source: RefSeq, a predicted model, not a curated record